RNAcentral lists this ribosomal RNA (385 nucleotides) under uncultured bacterium. RNAcentral's name for it is "bacterial SSU rRNA". It matches the Rfam family "Bacterial small subunit ribosomal RNA", at positions 29 to 417 of the family's 1533-position model. The record is from RNAcentral.
AUUGAACGCUGGCGGCAUGCUUUACACAUGCAAGUCGAACGGUAACAGGUCUUCGGAUGCUGACGAGUGGCGAACGGGUGAGUAAUGUAUCGGAACGUGCCCAGUAGUGGGGGAUAACUACUCGAAAGAGUGGCUAAUACCGCAUGAGAACUGAGGGGGAAAGCGGGGGAUCGCAAGACCUCGCGUUAUACGAGCGGCCGAUGUCGGAUUAGCUAGUUGGUGGGGUAAAGGCCCACCAAGGCGACGAUCCGUAGCGGGUCUGAGAGGAUGAUCCGCCACACUGGGACUGAGACACGGCCCAGACUCCUACGGGAGGCAGCAGUGGGGAAUUUUGGACAAUGGGGGCAACCCUGAUCCAGCCAUGCCGCGUGCGGGAAGAAGGCCU